Etheostoma spectabile (orangethroat darter) is the source of this 253-nucleotide long non-coding RNA. RefSeq lists it as uncharacterized. The record is from RefSeq and is a predicted model, not a curated record. NCBI's taxonomy places the organism in Eukaryota, Metazoa, Chordata, Actinopteri, Perciformes, Percidae. The transcript has 2 exons.
CUCCAAAGUUUUGGCAGUCAUCUUACUUUUGCCUUUCCCAACUCUAGUUUUUCCAUUUACAAAAUCCCUUCCAGAAGUUAUAUUUUAGUCAGAAAAUCAAUCCAAAGGGAUUUUGUUGGUACGCUAUUCUCCUUGUCCCUCCUCCUAAGUGUUUAAAGGCUCAAGGAUUGGUUAGAAAAGGGAAUUGCCACACUGGGGGAACUGUAUCUUGGUGGCAUAUUGAAAUCCUUUGAGGAUGUGGGACAGCAAUUUG